Hevea brasiliensis (rubber tree) is the source of this 1576-nucleotide long non-coding RNA. RefSeq lists it as uncharacterized. The transcript has 2 exons. The record is from RefSeq and is a predicted model, not a curated record. Lineage: Eukaryota; Viridiplantae; Streptophyta; Magnoliopsida; Malpighiales; Euphorbiaceae.
AUGAGAUUUUUGGCGUGUGACAGUGGGUUUCCACUGUAACAGCCACCCAAUUUAUUAAAAAAAAAAUCAAAAUAAAAAAAACGGGAGGAGAAACCCCCCAUUUUCUCUUUUCUCUCCUCUCCUUCCCUCUCUUCUUCUUCUUUCUUUUUCCGGUGACCGGCCGGCGACCUCCCGAGCAGCUCCCCACCCGGCCGGCGACGGCCACAACCACCAAAAACGGCGGCAAGAGAGAGAGAAGAGAGAGAAAACGUGCGCACAGUGGGCAGCGACUUUUCGGGCCGAUUCCGGCUUCAUCCGACGUCCGAUCGAGGCGAUUCAGGUGGCGUUGGAAAGCUUGUUCCGAGAGCUUUCUUUUGAUACCAAUUUUACAGUAAAUGGAGGUCGGAUGAGUGAGAUAUGGAGGAGAGAAGUUUCGGGUUUUUCAAGCUUUUCCAUCAGAUCUACGACGAUCCGACAUUUAGAUCGACGAUCCGAGACCACCUAUGGACUGAGGAAGAGGAGAGGAACAUGGUGGUAUGAUCAGAUCCGGCAAAUGUCGCCGGCGACCGACGGUGGCUCCGGUGGGCUAUGGAGAUGAUUCAACUUCUAGAGGCUUCCUCAUAAAUUUUUGGAAUUUUUAAGACACAGAUAAACUUCGGGUGAUCGAGGUCAGCUAUUUUUCUGCAUCCAGCAGCCACAAUAGUCAUCGGUGUACUGUGAGUAAAAUAUUAAUUUUAAUUUUAAUUUCGAUAUUAUUAUAUAUUUAAGCAUGCCCAUGCAUCACUUAUAUGUAUGUAUCUAUGUAGUUAAACUCUAGGCACAUUUUAUGUUGCAUUCACAACUGUUAAAGUGCCAUGGAUGUUGUUGUGGUAAUUUGGAGCAGUGGGCGUGCGUUAGCGUGCGUGUGAUGUGGUGUGGACUAUGGAUAGGACGGGUAGACACGGCUUGAGAUCUUCGCUGGGACCCGAUCCUUCGGGGUAGUCACGGCUUGAGUUCUUCGCUGGGACCCCGAUUUGGUUUAUUAAGCGAAAGUCUGGCUUGAGUUCUUUGCUGGCACCAGGUUGGAUUUAAGAGAGCUGUAUAGGGGAUCAGCUCCCAUAUAUUAUGAUUGAUAUUACUGGGUGUGUGAGUGCUCCAAAUUACCUUUUUGCUGUUAUGAUGUGAAUUUAUUGCUGAUGCUGCAUUUCACUCUACAGGGUGCAUUAGUUUUAGUUAGUUAUAGAGAUUAUGGUUAAAAUUGAUAUUUUACUCUCUGAGUCGAACGCUCACUCCUGUUCAAUAUUUUUUCAGGCCACAGGAGGAGUUAUUUUACAGAGCAACCUGUUUCAUUCCUCGCAGGUUUAGCGUCGAUUAUUUAAUUGUUUUACUAUCUUUUCUAAAUUUAAAAUCUAGAACUCCGCAUGUAUUAGUAAUAGUGUGGACCUUGUUAGAAAUUGUGUUAAAUUUAAAUUUUUGAGAUUAAUAAAUGAAGAUUUGUAUGGUAUUUAAACCGUUUGUAAAUGAGGUAAUAGGGUUGAGCUGGGCUCCCCUGAUUUUAGUUUCUGAAAAUUUCUGGGCUAAGUUGGCUCGAAAUGAAAAUAUAACAGUUUGAUUUAAA